Long non-coding RNA from Thamnophis elegans (Western terrestrial garter snake), 915 nucleotides. RefSeq lists it as uncharacterized. NCBI's taxonomy places the organism in Eukaryota, Metazoa, Chordata, Lepidosauria, Squamata, Natricidae. The transcript is spliced from 3 exons. The record is from RefSeq and is a predicted model, not a curated record.
AGCCUUCCUUCCUUCCUUCCUUCCUUCCUUCCUUCCUUCCUUCCUUCUUUAUGAAAACACUUGUUCUGACAACUAGUCCUUUAGCUUAGAAAAGCUUCAAUCUAACCUUCCACUAUCAACAAACUAUAUCACUACAAGUUCCCAGAUAAGAUGUUUGUAGAAAGAGGUUUCAAAGCAACUAUUUCCAGGUAAUUAAUGGCAGUUGACUUUGACUGGAUCAGCCGUCUGCACUCAGCUAACCUUGUUGCUAUGUGACACCAAUAGACUAAAUGAUCAGCUCCCACUGAGGACUCCAUGGGGAAAUCUUCUUUCAUUUUAUUCCCACUGCAAAUAUCUUGGUCUUGGUCAGAGAGUGACUGAUUCAAAGAUACCCACUGAAUUUCUUUGUGAAAGUGGAGCUGAACUUGGAUCUUCCCAAUUCUUAAACCCAAUGCCAUAAAACAUUACACCAUCCAGGCUCUAAGACAUUGAAAAUGGCAUCACCAUAUUGAAUGCUACAGAAUCAUAACGGAUAAGUAUCAAUCCAACUACAAUGGAUCCAAGAAUCUCACACUAAGCAUUUGUACUUCUCUAGGUCUCCAUCACCUCUGUAAAAUUAUUUUUUCUAUAUCAGAAACACUGUCCAUGGGCUAGAAGGAGAAAAUUUUAUACUGAGGAAUAUUAACUAAGCAUCUAUCAUGAUAAUAGCAGGACUAUUAAAACAGAGUAAAAUACAAAUUAAUUGGAAAUUUUAUCUGUCUUCUUUUAUAUAAAGACAAAGCCUAUUUUUGUAACAGGUGGAUAUUUGUCCUGAACUUUAGCUUAACCACCAGAAAUAAUGGCGAUAAAGCAACAAUAGAAAAUCCAUUAGCUUGUAGUUGUAGAGCACUGUUUCUUAAUUUCAGCAACUUGAAGAUAUACUAUAUGGAUAUCAAU